This 496-nucleotide ribosomal RNA is filed under the name uncultured bacterium. Its description in RNAcentral is "partial 16S ribosomal RNA". It matches the Rfam family "Bacterial small subunit ribosomal RNA", at positions 29 to 507 of the family's 1533-position model. The record is from RNAcentral.
AUGCACGCUGGCGGCGUGCCUAAUACAUGCAAGUCGAGCGAACAGACGAGGAGCUUGCUCCUCUGACGUUAGCGGCGGACGGGUGAGUAACACGUGGAUAACCUACCUAUAAGACUGGGAUAACUUCGGGAAACCGGAGCUAAUACCGGAUAAUAUAUUGAACCGCAUGGUUCAAUAGUGAAAGACGGUUUUGCUGUCACUUAUAGAUGGAUCCGCGCCGCAUUAGCUAGUUGGUAAGGUAACGGCUUACCAAGGCAACGAUGCGUAGCCGACCUGAGAGGGUGAUCGGCCACACUGGAACUGAGACACGAUCCAGACUCCUACGGGAGGCAGCAGUAGGGAAUCUUCCGCAAUGGGCGAAAGCCUGACGGAGCAACGCCGCGUGAGUGAUGAAGGUCUUCGGAUCGUAAAACUCUGUUAUUAGGGAAGAACAAAUGUGUAAGUAACUAUGCACGUCUUGACGGUACCUAAUCAGAAAGCCACGGCUAACUACGUG